This 26-nucleotide non-coding RNA is filed under the name Rattus norvegicus (Norway rat). The record is from RNAcentral. Lineage: Eukaryota; Metazoa; Chordata; Mammalia; Rodentia; Muridae.
GAAUUCAUGGAGAAGACUGAGGAUGU